RNAcentral lists this non-coding RNA (31 nucleotides) under Mus musculus (house mouse). The record is from RNAcentral. Lineage: Eukaryota; Metazoa; Chordata; Mammalia; Rodentia; Muridae.
UGUUUUUAUACAAAGCAACUAUGUUGAUGGU